GUGCUUGCUUUGGCAGCACAUAUACUUGAAACAGAGAAGAUUAGCAUGGCCCCUGUGUAAGGAUGACACACAAAUUUGAGAAAUGUUCCAUAUUUAA
Molecule: small nuclear RNA, 97 nt
Filed under: Salvator merianae (Argentine black and white tegu)
Lineage: Eukaryota; Metazoa; Chordata; Lepidosauria; Squamata; Teiidae
Source: RNAcentral